This 676-nucleotide ribosomal RNA is filed under the name uncultured Lachnospiraceae bacterium. RNAcentral describes it as "bacterial SSU rRNA". It matches the Rfam family "Bacterial small subunit ribosomal RNA", at positions 63 to 752 of the family's 1533-position model. Lineage: Bacteria; Bacillati; Bacillota; Clostridia; Lachnospirales; Lachnospiraceae. The record is from RNAcentral.
CGAACGGAGCUUAGAGAGCUUGCUUUUUAAGCUUAGUGGCGAACGGGUGAGUAACGCGUGAGUAACCUGCCCUAGAGUGGGGGACAACAGUUGGAAACGACUGCUAAUACCGCAUAAGCCCACGGUACCGCAUGGUACUGAGGGAAAAGGAUUUGUUCGCUUUAGGAUGGACUCGCGUCCAAUUAGCUAGUUGGUGAGGUAACGGCCCACCAAGGCGACGAUUGGUAGCCGGACUGAGAGGUUGAACGGCCACAUUGGGACUGAGACACGGCCCAGACUCCUACGGGAGGCAGCAGUGGGGGAUAUUGCACAAUGGGGGAAACCCUGAUGCAGCGACGCCGCGUGGAGGAAGAAGGUUUUCGGAUUGUAAACUCCUGUCGUUAGGGACGAUAAUGACGGUACCUAACAAGAAAGCACCGGCUAACUACGUGCCAGCAGCCGCGGUAAAACGUAGGGUGCAAGCGUUGUCCGGAAUUACUGGGUGUAAAGGGAGCGCAGGCGGGAAGACAAGUUGGAAGUGAAAACCAUGGGCUCAACCCAUGAAUUGCUUUCAAAACUGUUUUUCUUGAGUAGUGCAGAGGUAGAUGGAAUUCCCGGUGUAGCGGUGGAAUGCGUAGAUAUCGGGAGGAACACCAGUGGCGAAGGCGGUCUACUGGGCACCAACUGACGCUGAGGC